Trichomycterus rosablanca is the source of this 520-nucleotide long non-coding RNA. RefSeq lists it as uncharacterized. Lineage: Eukaryota; Metazoa; Chordata; Actinopteri; Siluriformes; Trichomycteridae. The transcript has 3 exons. The record is from RefSeq and is a predicted model, not a curated record.
AAGACGGCACAUUUUGUGAGCCACGCGGCACGGCGUUGGGGUGUGUGUUUACGGACGAGUCCAGGGGGACGGUUGCAUCCGCCGGUUGCCGACCAGGAACACGGAGGACUGGAAGGUCUAAACCAAGGGGUGGCGUUGUCGGGUUUGUAUCGUGAUAUAGAGGUGCGACCGCCACAUUUUGGCGUUGUCGGCAGGAUCGACCGUUCCUAGUUCAUUGUUACUGUCAGUUUGUUUGAAUGGUAAGGUCUAUUGGACAGUUGGAGCAGUUUUAGCGUUUGUGUUUUUUUUUAUUAUUAUUUUUUUUCUGAGGAGAGAACAGCAGCUGGCAUUCUAGAGAGGAUACCUCACCCGGAAAGGCUACCGAUGGAGGAGGAGCUGCAGAGGCUACGGGAGCGAGUAGGACGUCUUCAAAGCGAAAACGAAAGACUGUCUGCGAGUAGCUCUAGAGAUUAAUCCAUAGUCAUGUAUCCCGACUCCACACUGAGACGGCAGAGAGCAGUAAAUCGCAGAAGAGAACUAA